CUUAUGCGUUGUUGGGUAGGGGAGCGUUCUGUAAGCCUGUGAAGGUGUGCUGUGAGGCAUGCUGGAGGUAUCAGAAGUGCGAAUGCUGACAUAAGUAACGAUAAAGCGGGUGAAAAGCCCGCUCGCCGGAAGACCAAGGGUUCCUGUCCAACGUUAAUCGGGGCAGGGUGAGUCGACCCCUAAGGCGAGGCCGAAAGGCGUAGUCGAUGGGAAACAGGUUAAUAUUCCUGUACUUGGUGUUACUGCGAAGGGGGGACGGAGAAGGCUAUGUUGGCCGGGCGACGGUUGUCCCGGUUUAAGCGUGUAGGCUGGUUUUCCAGGCAAAUCCGGAAAAUCAAGGCUGAGGCGUGAUGACGAGGCACUACGGUGCUGAAGCAACAAAUGCCCUGCUUCCAGGAAAAGCCUCUAAGCAUCAGGUAACAUCAAAUCGUACCCCAAACCGACACAGGUGGUCAGGUAGAGAAUACCAAGGCGCUUGAGAGAACUCGGGUGAAGGAACUAGGCAAAAUGGUGCCGUAACUUCGGGAGAAGGCACGCUGAUAUGUAGGUGAAGUCCCUUGCGGAUGGAGCUGAAAUCAGUCGAAGAUACCAGCUGGCUGCAACUGUUUAUUAAAAACACAGCACUGUGCAAACACGAAAGUGGACGUAUACGGUGUGACGCCUGCCCGGUGCCGGAAGGUUAAUUGAUGGGGUUAGCGGUAACGCGAAGCUCUUGAUCGAAGCCCCGGUAAACGGCGGCCGUAACUAUAACGGUCCUAAGGUAGCGAAAUUCCUUGUCGGGUAAGUUCCGACCUGCACGAAUGGCGUAAUGAUGGCCAGGCUGUCUCCACCCGAGACUCAGUGAAAUUGAACUCGCUGUGAAGAUGCAGUGUACCCGCGGCAAGACGGAAAGACCCCGUGAACCUUUACUAUAGCUUGACACUGAACAUUGAGCCUUGAUGUGUAGGAUAGGUGGGAGGCUUUGAAGUGUGGACGCCAGUCUGCAUGGAGCCGACCUUGAAAUACCACCCUUUAAUGUUUGAUGUUCUAACGUUGGCCCCUGAUCGGGGUUGCGGACAGUGUCUGGUGGGUAGUUUGACUGGGGCGGUCUCCUCCUAAAGAGUAACGGAGGAGCACGAAGGUUGGCUAAUCCUGGUCGGACAUCAGGAGGUUAGUGCAAUGGCAUAAGCCAGCUUGACUGCGAGCGUGACGGCGCGAGCAGGUGCGAAAGCAGGUCAUAGUGAUCCGGUGGUUCUGAAUGGAAGGGCCAUCGCUCAACGGAUAAAAGGUACUCCGGGGAUAACAGGCUGAUACCGCCCAAGAGUUCAUAUCGACGGCGGUGUUUGGCACCUCGAUGUCGGCUCAUCACAUCCUGGGGCUGAAGUAGGUCCCAAGGGUAUGGCUGUUCGCCAUUUAAAGUGGUACGCGAGCUGGGUUUAGAACGUCGUGAGACAGUUCGGUCCCUAUCUGCCGUGGGCGCUGGAGAACUGAGGGGGGCUGCUCCUAGUACGAGAGGACCGGAGUGGACGCAUCACUGGUGUUCGGGUUGUCAUGCCAAUGGCACUGCCCGGUAGCUAAAUGCGGAAGAGAUAAGUGCUGAAAGCAUCUAAGCACGAAACUUGCCCCGAGAUGAGUUCUCCCUGACUCCUUGAGAGUCCUGAAGGAACGUUGAAGACGACGACGUUGAUAGGCCGGGUGUGUAAGCGCAGCGAUGCGUUGAGCUAACCGGUACUAAUGAACCGUGAGGCUUAACCUUACAAC
RNAcentral lists this ribosomal RNA (1740 nucleotides) under Escherichia coli. RNAcentral's name for it is "partial 23S ribosomal RNA". It matches the Rfam family "Bacterial large subunit ribosomal RNA", at positions 1213 to 2925 of the family's 2925-position model. Lineage: Bacteria; Pseudomonadati; Pseudomonadota; Gammaproteobacteria; Enterobacterales; Enterobacteriaceae. The record is from RNAcentral.